AUGAACGCUAGCUACAGGCUUAACACAUGCAAGUCGAGGGGCAGCAUGGACAUAGCUUGCUAUGUUUGAUGGCGACCGGCGCACGGGUGCGUAACACGUAUCCAAUCUGCCCGUUACUCGGGGAUAGCCUUCUGAAAGGAAGAUUAAUACCCGAUGGCAUGUAUUUCCGGCAUCGGAGAUACAUUAAAGAUUUAUCGGUAACGGAUGGGGAUGCGUGACAUUAGAUAGUAGGCGGGGUAACGGCCCACCUAGUCUACGAUGUCUAGGGGUUCUGAGAGGAAGGUCCCCCACACUGGAACUGAGACACGGUCCAGACUCCUACGGGAGGCAGCAGUGAGGAAUAUUGGUCAAUGGCCGUAAGGCUGAACCAGCCAAGUAGCGUGAAGGAUGAAGGUUCUAUGGAUUGUAAACUUCUUUUAUACGGGAAUAACACCAUCUACGUGUAGAUGUCUGCAUGUACCGUAUGAAUAAGCAUCGGCUAACUCCGUG
This 489-nucleotide ribosomal RNA is filed under the name uncultured bacterium. Its description in RNAcentral is "bacterial SSU rRNA". It matches the Rfam family "Bacterial small subunit ribosomal RNA", at positions 29 to 507 of the family's 1533-position model. The record is from RNAcentral.